Molecule: transfer RNA, 18 nt
Filed under: Haplochromis burtoni (Burton's mouthbrooder)
Lineage: Eukaryota; Metazoa; Chordata; Actinopteri; Cichliformes; Cichlidae
Description: partial tRNA-Thr
Source: RNAcentral
UUAAAGUCCUUCCUACUG